RNAcentral lists this non-coding RNA (125 nucleotides) under Pseudo-nitzschia heimii. The record is from RNAcentral. Lineage: Eukaryota; Bacillariophyta; Bacillariophyceae; Bacillariales; Bacillariaceae.
UAAAUACUGAUGAUUUAAUCCUUAGGAAUACACAGACCCCAACGAAAAGUGAUGCGGCAGAUGCUAUGGUAGGAACUCCUCGUUUCAAUCUAAGAAAAAAAGUCGAAGAGACACAGAAGCAGCUA